AACCAAGCGUGAUUAAUCAUAUCGAGCAAACUAAUGCACUGCUUGUGUUGCUGAAUAGUUGAUGUUUGAUUGCCGUCAUUAUUAAUAGUCUGCUAUCAAAUUGAGCAACACGAGUAGUAAUCUAAGUAAUCAGUUUAAAAAAAUGUAAAAACAAGUGGUCAAUAAUAGUUGUAUAAUAGGUUACCAGCAACCUGACGGCAACCUGAUAAUAACUAAUGAUAUGCCAUUGCGCCAAUAGCAUUUUAAUGGCAACAUGACAGCAACAUCAAAUAUAUAAUGUUUUCCUUUAUUUGGGUGUUCCAUAUCCUGAAUUGUUGGAGUUUUGGAAUGAAUUCUCGUUGUCAACAACGUGAGAACAACGUGUAAUUAAUAAAUGUUUGCGACAAUUUGCCAACAACAAGACAGAAUUCAAUCGCAAUAAUAUGAUAUUGUGUGUAUUGCCCGCCAAAACUGGGCGCUUUGCGUCUAUCACGCCCAACCAACAAAUUAACAGUCGAGAUUCAGCGGAAAAUCUACAACUGUUGAGUCUGCUGAACGCGGCCAUUGCGCCAUUGGCUAUACUCCUACUUUUCCUUAUCCCGCUGAGGGCGUGUAGGAACGAAUUAUUGGAGACUAGUGUACAUACAAGACAUACGUGGAAGUGCUCAUCAGUGCUUAAGUGCUCUCAUUUUGUGAAAGGAUCAUUUUGAUACAGAAAAUUAAGUAUACCGUAGAGGUGAUUAAUUCCGGCCGGAUGAAAUUGAAGUGAUAAUUGGUUAACAAUACACAAAAUUUAACGAAAAUAACGAAAAUAGG
Linepithema humile (Argentine ant) is the source of this 795-nucleotide non-coding RNA. NCBI's taxonomy places the organism in Eukaryota, Metazoa, Arthropoda, Insecta, Hymenoptera, Formicidae. The record is from RefSeq and is a predicted model, not a curated record.